UUUUGAGAGAAGUGGCGUGUGAAUUAGUUUACCUUGAGUAAGACUUCUUGUUUUCACAACACAAGGCAUGCAUACACAAUUUAUGUUUUAGGUUUUAGGUGGUGUUUGCAAAUGUUUUUUGAAAGUGAUUAUGAGCUUUUUUUUUUGCUCAUAAUCUGUUUUAGGUGUUUGCAAAAUCAACUUUUGUUUUUGCUUCUCUUAAAAUAAUCUGCUUCAGGGUUAGGGGUGCUUUUAAAAAAAUAGCUUAAAGCAGAUUAUUUUAAGAUAAACAAAAGCAAAAGUUAAUUUUACAAACACCUGAAAACAGAUUAUGAGCAAAAAAAAUUCAUAAUCACUUUCAAAAAGCUUUUACAAACACCACCUUAAUUAGAGUAAAUUAGAGAAAGAUUAGUGUUUCAAAUAGGCCUAAAGCCUAAUUAUCAGAAGUGAGUGAGUGUUUGUAAUCCUCCGUGAUUUUUAUUCGGAAAUGCUAUUUGCCGUCACAAAAUUGCUAUUCGCGGUUUCUAACAAAACCACCCAAAACUUUUAAAAAUAUCAAAAAACUCCCCAAAACUGCAAAUAGCAAAAAAAAAAGAAAAAAAAUUCGAAAAUUCGAAAUCAAGCUUGAAGAAGGGUUGGGCUUCGAUUUUUUGAUGUAAUUUCGACUCUUUUAUGUGUAAUAUGCAUUGGGUAGGUCGAUUACAGAACCAAUUUCAUGUUAAAAAGCCCUACAAAUCGAUUUGUAGGGCUUUUUUUUUUCGCAAAAAAAUGGUCGAACGCCCAAGAUGGGCGNNNNNNNNNNNNNNNNNNNNNNNNNNNNNNNNNNNNNNNNNNNNNNNNNNNNNNNNNNNNNNNNNNNNNNNNNNNNNNNNNNNNNNNNNNNNNNNNNNNNUAGUGAAAUAAAGUGUUUUUCUGGGGGGUUUUGUUAGAAACCGCAAAUAGCAAUUUUCAAACCGCAAAAAACAAUUCCCUUUUUAUUUUAGUUUAUUGAAUAGAGAUAUUAAUUCAUUUAAUAGAUCUAUGUGUAAAGAUACCCAAAAAAUCGGACUAUAUUUUUUAAUUAAUUUUUGGAUUUAUAUUUAUUGUUUCCUUAUUUUAAUUUGUCAUAGAUAGUUGGACUUGGAGGUAUAUCGGUGGUGCGUUUUGUUCUGUCAUUGUCAAUCCAUCAUCCGAUUUUGUAUAAAUCAAUUACAGUUUUUCUAUAUUUGUUGUUUUGUAAAAAAAUAGUUGGUUUUCAUUUUCUUUGUAGUUGCUUUUGUUAUUGGUUUCGGUUUGUUAUUGUUUGGAUUCUUUUGUUGAAUUGUGUUAGGUUUCAUUGACACUAUUGCGGUUGUUUAUGUUACUUUAUUGGUAGCCAAUUUCAUUAUUCAACUAUGGUAUUAAUGGUCAGUUCGUUAAUCGGCUAUGCUUUCGUCGAUUAAUAUCGUAGUCCAUGAAUACAACUGAUAGGGAAAAAAAGGUUUAAAAAGCAAAGAAUUUUGGAUACAUAAAAGCAAAGAAUUUUCGAUUAAUAAUGAAAUAAUUAAAAAAUAAAAAAUAAGAAACGGAAAUUAUUUUUCUUUAAAAACGAAAAAAAAAUACAAGAAUGGGGAUUGAUGUAGUAGAAAAAAGAUAGUGAAAAUGAAUUUUGGAUACAUAAAAGAUGAAAAGAACAUGAGUUUAUCUUAAAAAGUAAAUUUUGAUUGAACAUCUUAACCUAUUAAUGAAAGGUUUUUGGAGUUUUCUCAAAAAGCGCUUGUGACUUUAUAUGCAUUAAGGUGGUGUUUGCAAAUGAUUAUUUAAAAGCAGAAGUUAGUGAUUGUGAUUUAAGUUAGUUUUAAAUGCUUAUUUCUAAAAGUUGGGGGUGUUUGCAAAUAUUUCGGAAAAUGAACUAAAAUUGAAAAAGCAGGGUUAUGAAUGCUUUUAAAAAAAUAGCUUAAAGCAGAUUAUUUUAAGAGAAGCAAAAGCAAAAGUUGAUUUUGCAAACACCUAAAAACAGAUUAUGAGCAAAAAAAACCGCAUAAUCACUUUCAAAAAGCAUUUGCAAACACCACCUAAAUACAGGAAAAAUGGGCGGCUCGAUUUUGAGAGAAGUGACGUGUGAAUUAGUUUACUUUGAGUAGGACUUCUUGUUUUCAAUUUGCCCUUUAAAUAAACUAUAUAAGGAGAGUUGUGUUCUUCUCCAUAACACAUUUAUUUUGAAAUUUCUUCUUCUUCCCUUUGUAGCGAAUAUUAGAAAUUGCAUCCGCAAAAUAUAUAGAAUGGCUAACUUUCGAAAAAUGAGGUUCGCUAUGGAAGUAGCUCCUCCGAAGUUUGUCUUAGUGGCAAAGCGCCCCCUAAUCCAAAUUUUGGACACUAUUUAUGAGGAAGAAGCAUACACAUCACAAGGCAUAAUAUAUACACCAUUUAUGUCUUAUUAGUACCUUUCAUUAGAAUAAAGUCGAUCGAGAGCCGUGGUUUUUUCGAUUAUUGUUCGUUGUGUUUAGUGAAGGAAGAUUUCUUCUCACUUAAGAGGGGUUUUUUUUUUUUGUUUUAUUGUUUCAAAUAGGCCUCGUUAUCAGAGGUGAGUGAGUUUUUGUAAUUUUGCCGGGAUUUUUUUGUUUUGGUUUAUUGAAUAAAGAUAUUAAUUCAUUUAGUAGAUCUGUGUGCGAAGAUGUAAGAAAUAUGUAUUCAUCGUACGUAUAAAUCAUCAACUGCGGACACACUACGGUGAUUGUACGUCCUAACGUCGACCAUAUUCGAAAUAAAAUCAGCAGAAAGAGAGAAAUUACUAUAGAGAAUAAAAC
Molecule: long non-coding RNA, 2744 nt
Filed under: Erythranthe guttata (spotted monkey flower)
Lineage: Eukaryota; Viridiplantae; Streptophyta; Magnoliopsida; Lamiales; Phrymaceae
Description: long non-coding RNA (EGUT_LNC002650)
Source: RNAcentral